RNAcentral lists this ribosomal RNA (836 nucleotides) under uncultured bacterium. RNAcentral describes it as "bacterial SSU rRNA". It matches the Rfam family "Bacterial small subunit ribosomal RNA", at positions 590 to 1423 of the family's 1533-position model. The record is from RNAcentral.
UNUUGUGAAAUCUAACGGCUCAACCGUUAAACUGCUUGGGAAACUGAUAAUCUAGAGUAAGGGAGAGGCAGAUGGAAUUCUUGGUGUAGGGGUAAAAUCNGUAGAUAUCAAGAAGAAUACCUAUUGCGAAGGCGAUCUGCUGGAACUUAACUGACGCUAAUGCGUGAAAGCGUGGGGAGCAAACAGGAUUAGAUACCCUGGUAGUCCACGCCCUAAACGAUGUAUACCGGUUGUUGCUGUGCUAGUCACGGCAGUAAUCCACCUAACGGAUUAAGUAUACCGCCUGGGGAGUACGGUCGCAAGAUUAAAACUCAAAGGAAUAGACGGGGACCCGCACAAGCGGUGGAGCAUGUGGUUUAAUUCGAAGAUACGCGAAGAACCUUACCCGGACUUGAUAUCUAACAAAUCAUCCAGAGAUGGAAGAGUGUCUGCUUGCAGAAAUGUUAAGACAGGUGCUGCACGGCUGUCGUCAGCUCGUGUCGUGAGAUGUUGGGUUAAGUCCCGCAACGAGCGCAACCCACGUCAUUAGUUGCUAACGGUUCGGCCGAGCACUCUAAUGAGACUGCCUUCGUAAGGAGGAGGAAGGUGUGGACGACGUCAAGUCAUCAUGGCCCUUAUGUCCGGGGCGACACACGUGCUACAAUGGCAUAUACAAUAAGACGCAAUAUCGUAAGAUGGAGCAAAUCUAAAAAAUAUGUCCCAGUUCGGAUUGGAGUCUGCAACUCGACUCCAUGAAGCCGGAAUCGCUAGUAAUCGUAGAUCAGCCAUGCUACGGUGAAUACGUUCCCGGGUCUUGUACUCACCGCCCGUCACACCAUGGGAGUUGAUUUCACUCG